AAUUGAACUUGUGAAUGCAGAAGCUGCUAACAAAGAGGGGGUGGUGAUGUUUUGUCUCCGCUGGGAUUUGAACAAGGGAGUAAAAAUUAAUGAAGUAAUGUUUUGCCUAGAUAGGUAACGUAACCAUGGCCAUUCAAUUACUAGGGUUGCGCCUCUCUUGUAUCGCCUACAUUCAUGUCAUGGGGUCUAGUAAUUCUAACAAUCAAAGCAGAAACAACAGAAGUUGCAGAUCAAGGUGUUAAUGCAACCAUGAUCCUUCCAUUUUUAAAGUAG
RNAcentral lists this unclassified non-coding RNA (273 nucleotides) under Hevea brasiliensis (rubber tree). Lineage: Eukaryota; Viridiplantae; Streptophyta; Magnoliopsida; Malpighiales; Euphorbiaceae. The record is from RNAcentral.